ACAGCAGUUAGGAAUAUUCGGCAAUGGGGGAAACCCUGACCGAGCAAUGCCGCGUGUGAGAUGAAGGUCCUCUGGAUUGUAAAUCACUUUUAUUUGGGAAGAAUUGUAAGUAGAGGAAAUGAUACUUACUUGACGGUACCUUUUGAAUAAGCCCCGGCUAACUACGUGCCAGCAGCCGCGGUAAUACGUAGGGGGCGAGCGUUAUCCGGAUUUAUUGGGCGUAAAGCGUGCGUAGACGGUUUAUUAAGUCCAGAAUUAAAGCCCGAGGCUUAACCUCGGUUCGUUCUGGAUACUGGUAGACUAGAGUAUGGUAGAGGCAAAUGGAAUUCCUAGUGUAGCGGUGGAAUGCGUAGAUAUUAGGAGGAACACCAGUGGCGAAGGCGGUUUGCUGGGCCAUUACUGACGUUGAGGUACGAAAGCGUGGGUAGCAAAUAGGAUUAGAUACCCUAGUAGUCCACGCUGUAAACGAUGAGCACUAAGUGUCGGGUUACCGGUGCUGAAGUUAACACAUUAAGUGCUCCGCCUGAGUAGUACGGUCGCAAGACUGAAACUCAAAGGAAUUGACGGGCACCCGCACAAGCGGUGGAGCAUGCCGUUUAAUUCGAAAAUACGCGAAAAACCUUACCUAGACUUGACAUCCCUGGCAAUGCUAUAGAAAUAUAGCGGAGGUUAUCCGGGUGACAGGUGGUGCAUGGUUGUCGUCAGCUCGUGUCGUGAGAUGUUCAGUUAAGUCUGCUAACGAGCGCAACCCUUGUCAAUAGUUGCUAACAUUUAGUUGAGAACUCUAUUGAGACUGCCGGUAUUAAACCGGAGGAAGGUGGGGAUGACGUCAAAUCAUCAUGCCCCUUACGUCUAGGGCAACAGGCGUGCUACAAUGGCUGGUACAAUGAGUCGCAAAACCGCGAGGUGGAGCUAAUCUCCAAAGCCAGUCUCAGUUCGGAUUGAAGUCUGCAACUCGACUUCAUGAAGCUGAAAUCGCUAGUAAUCCCGGAUCAGAAUGCCGGGGUGAAUACGUUCUCGGGUGUUGUACACACCGCCCGUCACGGCAUGGGAGUCAAUAAUAUCCGAAGCCGGUAGCCUAACCCGCAAGGGAGGGGGCCGUCGAAGAUAGGAUUGAUGACUGGGCUGAAGUCGUAACAAGGUAUCCCUACCGGAAGGUGGGGAUG
Molecule: ribosomal RNA, 1166 nt
Filed under: human gut metagenome
Description: bacterial SSU rRNA
Rfam family: Bacterial small subunit ribosomal RNA
Source: RNAcentral